This 361-nucleotide transfer-messenger RNA is filed under the name Desulfurivibrio sp. It matches the Rfam family "transfer-messenger RNA". Rfam says of the family: Bacterial tmRNA, also known as 10Sa RNA or SsrA, is named for its dual tRNA and mRNA-like properties. Its role is to liberate the mRNA from a stalled ribosome. Lineage: Bacteria; Pseudomonadati; Thermodesulfobacteriota; Desulfobulbia; Desulfobulbales; Desulfobulbaceae. The record is from RNAcentral. RNAcentral also lists the same sequence under 1 other name.
GGGGGCGAAACGGAUUCGACGGGGAUAUACAAGCUCAGGCUGCAUGUCGAGGUCUCUGACUGCUCGUUAAACGGUUGGAAUUUUAAAUAUAGUCGCAGACGACUAUGCAUAUGCCGUAGCAGCAUAAAUAAGCUACCGUUCCACCAACCCGUUCCUGCGGGGUUGAUUGGAGCGUCGACUAGCGGGAUAGCUUUCGGGAGGAGCCUACUGGCCCGAUAAGCGAAAUAAAAAGCGGGAUAGCGCCAAAAGUUCCUGGUCCUGGUGGAACCCAGGCGCGAUAAGCACUUAAGCAGGAAUACACAUGUAGACGCUUGCAGGGGAGUAUUUUCGGACGCGGGUUCGACUCCCGCCGCCUCCACCA